Molecule: ribosomal RNA, 460 nt
Filed under: uncultured bacterium
Lineage: Bacteria
Description: partial 16S ribosomal RNA
Rfam family: Bacterial small subunit ribosomal RNA
Source: RNAcentral
CCUACGGGAGGCAGCAGUGAGGAAUAUUGGUCAAUGGACGAGAGUCUGAACCAGCCAAGUAGCGUGAAGGAUGACUGCCCUAUGGGUUGUAAACUUCUUUUAUAAAGGAAUAAAACGAGGCACGUGUGCCUUUUUGCAUGUACUUGAUGAAUAAGGAUCGGCUAACUCCGUGCCAGCAGCCGCGGUAAUACGGAGGAUCCGAGCGUUAUCCGGAUUUAUUGGGUUUAAAGGGAGCGUAGAUGGGUUGUUAAGUCAGUUGUGAAAGUUUGCGGCUCAACCGUAAAAUUGCAAUUGAUACUGGCAGUUUUGAGUACAGUUGAGGUAGGCGGAAUUCGUGGUGUAGCGGUGAAAUGCUUAGAUAUCACGAAGAACACCAGUGGCGAAGGCGGCAGCCUGGCCUGUUACUGACGCUGAGGCACGAAAGCGUGGGGAGCAAAUAGGAUUAGAUACCCUUGUAGUC